GGGCCCUUAGCUCAGUUGGUAGAGCAACUGACUUUUAAUCAGUAGGUCGUGAGUUCGAGCCUCACAGGGCCCACCA
RNAcentral lists this transfer RNA (76 nucleotides) under Chloroflexota bacterium. Its description in RNAcentral is "Chloroflexi bacterium tRNA-Lys". It matches the Rfam family "tRNA". From Rfam's summary of the family: Transfer RNA (tRNA) molecules are approximately 80 nucleotides in length. Their secondary structure includes four short double-helical elements and three loops (D, anti-codon, and T loops). RNAcentral also lists the same sequence under 3 other names. The record is from RNAcentral. Lineage: Bacteria; Bacillati; Chloroflexota.